CCACGGUGCAGGCGCAGCUCCAGGCUGUGUUCCAACGGGACUGGAGCUCCAAAUACAGCAGGGACAUCCGCACCGUGGGCCAGUGGGAAACCCUCUGCCGCCCUCACGAGGCGGCUGCCCGCUGAGGACGGAUGGGAGGAGAGGCUGGCCUCACAGAGCCACCGCGUGUCCAGGACGCACGUCAGGGCAGCCCGGCCUCCCCGACACGGCAAACGCGGCAGGCCUGGCACGCCCCUUGCGGUGUCGCCUGGCGGUUGGUUGGAUCUGCAAUGGCGUUAGCCUUGUUUUGAGUUCUGGUGGCUCUCUGGCACGCAAGGACGCCCCGUCCGCCAACACUAACAGCCCAGCCAGCCCAGGGACGCGGCUUCCUUCUCUCUGCAGUACCCGCCCCAAAAUCCCUGUCACUCCCAUGCCGUACGCCCCCCCUUUUCCCCGUCCCUAGGGCUCAAGGUGCAACCCUGUUCAUGGAAAUCCCCCUCAGCCAAUUCCGAGGGCUCAGGGCGUAACUCUCAGCAGCUUUCACCACUGAACUAGCCUCCCACAGUAAUGGCCUCACUCUCUGUGGGUUAGCAAUUCCCAGGCCAGCAGACCGCACGUGCCAAGCACCCAAAGCCCCAGCCUGAGCCAGGCAGCAGAACUUCCCCUGGUGGUGUGACGAUGCGUAGGGGUUUUCCCCGUCUCCUGCACCCCCAAAGUGGCACGAACAGACUCCACCAGCCAGUAGAACAGAGGGAGUUUAUUGCUUCUCCAGGAUACAGCACAGCGCAGAUGUCAUCUGGUUCCAGGGCAGGCCUAGGAUGCCUCAGCCCCCCUUGAGAUGGGGGGGGGUCUUAGCUCCUAAACCCCAGCCUGUUGCUUAGGCUGCUUCCUCCAUGAUACCAGACAGAGACUAACCCCCUCACCUCCAGCCCUGCCCCCCAGCCAGGGACGGCAUUCCACGUUCCUUUGUUUCUCCCCCUGGGGGGUAGCUGGUCAGACAGGUUUGGAGCCCCCUUUGCAUAAUGACUCACCCCCUGCCCUGCUGGGUCGUGCUACAGACAGCAGAGGUGGCCCACACUACCUCACAGGCGGCCAGGCCAGGUCGGUCUCGUCCAGUCGCUGCCCAUCCCGGUCGUGCAGAGGAGUCGUAUGCUGCGUCUUGGGGGCCGGGUCUUCCCUCCCUCUGCUGUCUCUUCCUCCUCCUCCUGUCUUGCUAGUCUCCUUCGUGGACCCCAGUUUAUAGAGUGAAACUUGAGUCCUGCUUAGCUCUACCACGACUGAUUAUUUUACUCACCAACCCUAACACGCUGCGUAAUUCCCUAACCCGUGAUACUUCACCCUGUCAAUUGAUUUACACCAAGCAAAGUUCAUUAUACAGUCCAUAGAAACCAUCAAAAACCAGACAGCGUUCAGGCCAGUCAUAGGAAAGUGAGGCCCAUCACAAAGCAACGAGGAUUUCCCAACUCCAGCUACUGAGAAGGAGUUUCUUGCCAGGGGAGAUGCUGUCAUAACAGGGGCAGCCCUAGAUUAGCUGCAAGCACCUGGUGCCCUCCAUGCAAUCGGCACCCCCCCCAAACCCUUCAAUGAUAUUUGGCGCCCCAUUUAACUUGGUGCCCUAGGCAACCUCCUAGUUGGCCUAUACGGACAGGCCUCCCCUGGCUGUCAAACUAAGUUUUCUUUCACCAUCAGUAUGUCUAGACGACAGGCUUUUGUCGACAGAAGUUUUCUAUCGACAAAGCUUCUGUCGACAAAGAGCAUCUAGACGACAGCUAGUUCUGUCGACACAGCAAGCCGCUUUGUCGACGUGAGAGCAUAGACGCAAAGGACGGUGUAGCUGCGAUAACGCCUUCUGUCGGCAGAACGCUGUCGGCAAGAGACGUUAUUCCUCGUAGAAUGAGGUUUACUGCCGUCGACAAAACUGCCGAGUUCUGUCGCCGUUGUGUCGACAGAACUCAGCGGCAGUGUAGACGCAGGGAUCGUUUUGUCGGCAAAACCCUGUAGUCUAGACACACCCCUUGAGAGCAAGCUCUUUAUCUGGGGACAGAGGGCUUCUGAGCAGCCUGGUGCGACACUUUUAGAUGGAUGCAACUUCCUGCUUUUCAGCUAAUGGCUGCUGCUCCUUCCCUCUGGCU
Molecule: non-coding RNA, 2111 nt
Organism: Pelodiscus sinensis (Chinese soft-shelled turtle)
Lineage: Eukaryota; Metazoa; Chordata; Testudines; Trionychidae
Source: RefSeq, a predicted model, not a curated record